AAUAUACCACAGAACUAGUAAGUAUUUUUUUUCAAUCAUUACUAUGGUAAUAAAAAGUACUCCACAUCGAUUCAUUUAACACAAGAUGUCAAUAUUCGAAUUAAGAAGCCAAGUAUGAGUUGAGCUUGCCAAAGUUAUAUAUAUCAUUACCAUAAUCGAAAAACUUGAGCUUCAAUUUGUGGUCAAACUUUUCCUUAGUCCUUGACGAUGUAAGAUCCUUUUACAUAGUUUUUUUGUUUUGUUCCCAAGUAUCAUUCGGACAUACAAACUUGUCCUUUACAUUGGUUGUGAAAUCAAAUUCCAGUUAUCAUUCUUGAAGCUGUGAUCUGUGAUCUGAUGUGUGAAAGUUUUUUUUUCCAUUUAAUUUUCUCAAUUAGUUUUCACAAGAAAAUAAGGCUGUCAUAUGUGUAUGGAAGAGAAAUAUUAUGUAGCUUUUAAAUGGAAGUAAAUAUAUGCAGAAUUGAUGGUUCAUUUAUGAAAUAACAACAAGUAUUUUGUAAUCAAAUAUGAAGUUUAGACUGUGACAACACACUCGAUUGACAUCAAGAGGAAGUGCAAAUCUAUCAUAAGCAUAAUAUUGAAUCUUGACCCAAUCUACUCAUAAGCAUAUCUUUAUUACUAAAAGUUAUAUUGUCAGAAGCACAAGUAAGUCAUUAGAGCUAGGAAAUGGGGGAUGAACUUUUAUCCACUUAAUGUUAUUGUGCCUUUCUUUACAAGGAAUAUGAUAAAACUAAAAAAUAUAUACAAUUAUAUCUUUCUUCUUCCUUUGAUCAAUCUUAUACCAUUAAAUUGUGAUGAGGAACUGUUAAAUCACAGCCCUGAAAGACUACUUUUUGCUACCAAAAUUUUUAAGAUCUAAUCACAGCUUUUCAACUCUUGAUUUAAUAAAAGUUUAUUAAAAUUACCUUUUACUACCAAAACAUGGGACGGUUCAAAUUAAUCCGAUAACAUUUUCUUCCACUCAUGUCCACUAAGCAUUAUAGACAUAGAUUGGACAAUUGAAUUUUAUACUUUGAAUAAGUAUCUCAUGACCUAAUCGGUGGGCAAAAUCGAGGUCGUAAAGGUUAACUAAAAUUUAUAACAAUUAAGGUAUUUUUUAGAUUUUACAAAGGAUGUGAGAUCAUGAUAAACCAAAUAAUAAUACAUUAGAAAAAAAAAUAUUUCAUCUCAUCAAGGUGAAGACUAUUUCUAAAAAUUAUAUUGUCUUUCUCCUCUCUUUAAAAAGAAAAUAAUACAUUAGAAAGACUAUUUUUAAAGAAAGGAAGAUUUGUUUUUCUCCUCUCUUUUUCCUAUUGUCUUUACAUUAGUAGUAUCAUUUGGUUUCCAUAAGUGUUAACUUGCCUGCAUACAGAAUCGAUCUAUCUUUGAUGAGAAAACCAAUAGCUCACAUGAUGAGGAAGUAAUUCCUGACGAUGAAUUAAUACAAAUAGAAGCAAAAUUUUGAAAGGCCAAAACACAGUAAUCAUUUAUAAUCUUCACAUCUUCUUUAUCGAAUAAAAAAAAUUACAAAGAUCAAAUAUAUUGUGAUUAAAUAUAUUCAUGAGCAAGUCUUGGAUUCAUUUAUCCCCAGUGGUGCACAGUCAAUAUAACUCUUUCAGCACAUCUUUGUCAUAUUUUCCAACAAGCAACUAUUUAGAACAGAAACAUUCUUAUCACUCUCUUCCAAGUUCAUUUUUAUGGACAUCAAUCAUUUCAGUUUGUUAGACAUGAUAAUGAUGUAUCUAAUGAUUGGGUUUACCAAACAAGAAUCUUCUAAAUUAUUCAGCACUCACUAUUUCCUCAGUGGAUGUUCAGCAUCAAGCAAUAGGACCCCUCCUCUAUUUAUGACUGUCAGUAGAAUCAUUGUUAGGUUUCUGACCACAGCCAUUGCAACUUUGUAAUAGAUCAUGUUUUUUGUGUCGGGCUUGAAGUUUUUGGCUAUUGAUAAAAUUUGGUUUUUUUACCAUAGUAAAACUUUAGGGUCAAAUACAGUAGAAGAGUGUUUGCUAUGUUAUCCUUUCUUACAUUUUGGUAAACUUGGCAAUAUGGAAUACAAACCUUAGAAAUAGCUGUCCCUGUAAUUUUUCUUAUUUUUGGACAAAUUUGUUAAAUUUCAUUAUUACAUGAUAAUCCCUCUUAUUUUUCUAUGCAUGCCAUGGUCUUCUAUUUUUAAGUCAACAUCUUCUGAAUAAACCAACUAAAUAUAAAUAAAACAAAAUCAUUUUUGCACCUAAUUGUGCAUAAUCAUAUAUCUAAAAAAGUGUGCUACUUCAAUCAAAUAACAAGAAAAUUGGAAAUGAAGCAAAUGAUUUGGAUUUUAUUCUCGACUCUAAUCUCCAUUCCCAUUUUUCAUGUAAGCUCAUUGUGACUGACAGAUAAUGCAGAAGAGAAAUAAAAUUCAUUAGAAAUUUAGGAUAUUCCUUAUAAUAUUUCAUGUCGAAUACUAAUGAAGAUUAAUAAAUAUUCUUAGUGGCGAAGAUGAAAUUCGAGCCUAGGACUUUGUGAUAAAUCGUCAAGAUCUUUAUUAGUUAAACUAAUUAGCACCUUUAACACCUUUAGUUAAACUUGUUAUUAGGUAAAUAACAAGUGUUUAGUGACUAAUAGCAAAGGUCAUAUAGACUUGUCUACAGAAAAGCCCAAGGUUUUACUAUGUGCACAACAUUUUUUAUCUUUUAAAAAAUAACAUAUGAAUGCUGAAAAUUUUAAAAUAGUAUAUAUAUUACUCUAAAUAUUAGUAUUCUUCCACAUUUGCCACUUCAGCUACCAUUAGUCAACAUACCAAGUAUAACCACUACUAUCUAUGUUACUGAAUUUUAAAUAAAUAUUUGAAAUGUAAAAUAGAAAUUUUAUUUAAAAUUUUAUUAUUUUAAUAGAGCUAUUAAUAUAAUCAAUAUAUUAAUAAAUGAUUUUUUUUUUCUUGAAAAGAAUCCAAAUUCUAAGAAACCAAUUAAAUUAGUAUCAGUAAUCCAACAUGUUGACUAAAAAUAGAUUCAUAUUGGAAUCCAUUCAAGAAUUAGAGCUAUGAUCCAACUAGAUUUAAAUCAAUUACAUUUAUUUGUUUCUCCACAAAUUAUGAUUUGAAUUUCUCAAAUAAUAAAUAUUGUUUAAAAGCCGUUUAAAUUGCUUUUGAAUUAUAGUAAUAGGUUGAGUUCCUAGCUCGGUAUCUCGGAUCAAAAUUGAUUUGUAUUCAAUGCAAUUAUCGUUGAAUAAUUGGACCAGGAUUCUAAUUAGAUUUCGAUCAAUAUUCUACUUAAAUCAGAUUCUGUCACGGAUUGGGUUACAAUCAACCACUCGAGAUGUUGAUCAUCUUAGAGGCAAUGUUGUUAUAUGAAUAAAUUGCACAAGUAGUUAAUUGAACAUUUUUUGGUCUUUCUUCUUUUAACUUUAAGACUUAAAUAUACUUAAACAACAGAAUAUGUAUGAUCAUUCAUUCAUCGAAGGUAACGAAGCAUUUGGCUUUCCCUAUAUGAUUUGAAUCUAAGUAGUUCAUAUUUCUUAAUAGAAUUUAAUUUGGUAUUUUUAUUUAGAAAAUGACGUUUUGAGUUUCUUUGAACUUUCAGUGAUAGAUAUGAUGCUUAGGAGUGCUUUUGCGUUGGUUGAUUAUGAUAUGCUGGCACGGGAACCAAUAAAAAAGCUCAGAAUCGAGAAAAACCUUCAAAACCUCGACACUCGAUCCAAGUGGAAAUCAAGUCCUCAGCUUCUCAAAGACUCGGAAGGAAGCGAGACAGAGCACUCAAAGCUUCUUCGAUAGAUUAACAUUCUUGAACAGGAGAGAUUGUUGGGUGUGGACGAGUAGUGUCACAUGAGGAAAUAAAGGAUAAUAUCAGGAACCGGUAGACUGUGAGUUUCAUGAUUCAUGUGAAAUAUAAGAUGUAAUGGUUGCGUAUAAUGAUUAGAUACAUUUAGAAACUUCUAUGCAUCAGAAUGGUUUUAUGAUUGCACUCAGAAGAUACUUGGAACUCGUGAGUUCAUGACCAGCUGAACAUAUUAAUAGUAGUGAUGAUGAU
This 3986-nucleotide long non-coding RNA is filed under the name Musa acuminata (dwarf banana). RNAcentral describes it as "long non-coding RNA (MACU_LNC006293)". The record is from RNAcentral. Lineage: Eukaryota; Viridiplantae; Streptophyta; Magnoliopsida; Zingiberales; Musaceae.